RNAcentral lists this ribosomal RNA (211 nucleotides) under uncultured Staphylococcus sp. RNAcentral's name for it is "partial 16S ribosomal RNA". It matches the Rfam family "Bacterial small subunit ribosomal RNA", at positions 150 to 354 of the family's 1533-position model. The record is from RNAcentral. Lineage: Bacteria; Bacillati; Bacillota; Bacilli; Caryophanales; Staphylococcaceae.
CGGGAAACCGGAGCUAAUACGAUAAUAUUUUGAACCGCAUGGUUCAAAAGUAGAAAGACGGUCUUGCUGUCACUUAUAGAUGGAUCCGCGCUGCAUUAGCUAGUUGGUAAGGUAACGGCUUACCAAGGCAACGAUGCAUAGCCGACCUGAGAGGGUGAUCGGCCACACUGGAACUGAGACACGGUCCAGACUCCUACGGGAGGCAGCAGGG